Poecilia latipinna (sailfin molly) is the source of this 4666-nucleotide long non-coding RNA. RefSeq lists it as uncharacterized. The transcript has 2 exons. The record is from RefSeq and is a predicted model, not a curated record. Lineage: Eukaryota; Metazoa; Chordata; Actinopteri; Cyprinodontiformes; Poeciliidae.
CUCAGCAAACCUCAGAUAACCAUGACUUCCUCCACAACCCCGAUUAGUCAGGGGAAACAGCUGCCCGCUGUAGGCACGUGCAAUUACCCAUUAGGAGGGAAGCGGCAAAGGCAAACACGACUGCACAAAUCUAUUUCUGAUUGCUCCAAGGUUUGUGAGGGACCCUGUAACGAUAAAUGCAGCCCAUUGUUGCGAUCAGUCAACCUCCUUUCUCUUCAGGGCAAAAUCAAAAAGAGCUGCAGGAGCCAAAGGCCAGCGAGAGAGCUAGUAAACAUAAUCUCCCUCUAUUUACAGCAGGAGAUAGAAAUCAAUCUGCAGACAGAAGCCGACAUCAGAGCAAGAGCAGAGGAGGGCAGGUAUGCUUUUUAAUGAACCGUUUCUGCAUGGCAAAAGGCACCGUGAAACCCUCGCUGUCAAGGCAACAAGGCCUUGCCUAUGCAUUUAUAUGUCAGAUAUAUUUCAUACGCAGGGGGAGCAAAAGCAGCACCACCUCUAUGCUGUUUAAUGCUGCUUUAUGCGCAUUACUUCCUACACUGGCGUCUGUGUGUGCAUGCAUGUCAGGGUUCAACUAAAGAUAGGGUGCAAAAGUGCACAAUGCAAAAUAUGACUUUGAUAACGGCGAGCAUAAGACCGAGACUGAAAGCGAGCAAAGAAGGAGAAGGAGAACGAGGACAUUCCUUUGACCUCUUGAGGGAGUUUCAUGGUUGUUACAUUAAGGUAUCUGAGCAACAGGACUCUUCAGCUGCUGACAACACUCAUACUGAAAGCAGGAGCUGAUAUUUUAACACCACAUUACACAGACCAGAGCCAGCAGACUCAACUGGUUUUAAACAGCUAUAAGAAAAAAGACGUAUAUGCUUACUAAAACUAUUCGUUCAGAGAAAAGCUGUUUUUUGUAUAAUUUUGAACCGAGAAACUAAUCAAAAAUCAAGAAAACAGUUAAAUUAGCUCACUCUGCUCUGUUUUGAUAAUAUUUGGAUUAUUUCCAGCUCACUGCUUUAGAUUGUUUAAUAGAAAGAAAUUUAUUUAAAAUGUUAUCCCAGAUUAAUUUUUAGCUCCAUCGCUUCCAAAAAUUUUAACCAUUAUAGUACAAUACAAUUCAGCAACCUCCAGUUUUUUCUUCCUCUCUAUAGUUUCUUGUUUGACUUUCAGGUUGUCCAAGAUCUUCUGGUGGUCGGAGAAGGAAAACGAUAAAAAUCAUCACAAAAUGACACCAUGCUGUUGUAGGUUACCUAUGCGCUUUCGGAUCAACAUAUCCUAUUGUGAAAGUUUUUUUUUCCCAUCUUCUGUAAUCGACAUAAGACAGCAACAUAAUUACAAACCAUCAUGCAGCCACCUCAAAUUAAUUAGAAAUAAAAACUUUCAACUUGUUUGUCUGUAAUAACAUGCUCUCUGAUGAACUUUGUUGCUUCAUUGCUCUACAUCAACAAGUUCCAAUGUACCUUGUAAAGCAGUGCACAAAAAAUGCCUUUUUCCACAUGACUUAACAAAACAACUAAUCCUAAAUUAGUUGGAUUGUAUUGGAGACAAAAAAAAAUCCUUAUUGGAACGUCCUUUCUCAGAAAACAAAACAAGACGUACACAAUCUCAACUUUGCUUCUUGCUUACUCAGCAUGCAGUUUUUGCUAAAAAAACAAACAAACAAAAAAAACCCUUCUUUUUUGAAAAUCAUUGAAUAAAGGCUCCUAUAAUCAUCUUUCUUUUUAUGUAAGACAAAUGUAACCAGCUGCUUUUUUUCCUGGUCAAUUCCAGAUUCACAUUGUAGGGACUAACAUAGACUCGUCUCCUUUUUGUAUGUAUUUUCUACGCCUUUGCUGCCGUCUGCCUCACAAAUUACUUGACUUGAAUGGUCCUGGACCGAUAUAUAUUGCAUUGUUAGUAUAACUAUGAACCAAGUCGACCCCUUAUGUCAUCAGAAACCCACUCACUCAGUUUGCCCAGGACCAGAAUUGAACCAGGAGAAGCAGCAUUUAGUUUCUAUGCUCUUCUAUGAAACAAACUCCCUGAAAACCUGAAAUAUGCAGCAACUGUUAACUUCUUCAAAUCCAGAACCAAACACAUUUUUGUUCCUGCAGCUUUCAAUCAAAGAAUCCCACUAACAAACUGUUUUCACUAAUCACAAAUGAGUGGCUGAAACAUGAGAUCGAAGAUAACAAUCGUUGCUCUUGGAGUCUAAUAACACCUGGCAGUGAUUUGUUUUAAAUUUGCAUUUUGACAUGUUUCCUUCGAUGCAAUGCUUUUCAGUGUUUGCUGUGUAAAAGCAAAGCUCAAAUAUUUUUCCCAUUUCAUUGUGUGUUUUUUUUUAGUUUUUUUUUUGAGUUCUCGUUGUGCUCUUUGGAAGUGUAUAGCUGGAGCUAUGCUAACAUACUCGCCUGCUUGCCCUGUUUGCAGGUAUUUUAUAAAACUUAAAGGUGAAGCCGUUUCUUUCAAAAUGGAUGAGAUCGUAUUGCACUUUUUUGUUUUGCAUUUUUGCACAAAUACCGUGAAACCGCAGCGUUUCUAAUCAAGGUGAUCGUACAGAGGGAGAGAGACUCGUACCCAUAUCAGAUGACUUAGCCAUGAAGGCUCACAUGACACCUUGUCUCUUCCAGUUUUAAGUCGCACCUUUUACACAGUAUUCUGUGUUCAUCAGUGGCUCGGCCUAUACGUCGUAUUUUCUAAAACAGCAGAAAAGCUUUGGAACAAAUUAUUGCUGUACAUCACAAUAGCUGCUUUUUCCGCAUUUUUGCCCCUCAGUCAUAUUUCCCAAGCUUUUUCAUUUUCCUUCCCAUUCCCAUUUUUAGCUUGCUGCUUCAAAUGCAACACGGAGGCCGAGCCCGCGCAGCAGCAUGAAAGCCCACCUUUAUCAACCUUAAAUCUGCCAAUGAUCACUUUUCCACGUUGUCCUAUUUAAGCUUCCCGACACCAGUGGGCUACCGGGAAGCUCAUGUUUAAAUGAGGAGCCUCGGGCUCAAUGAACAGAGAGCCUCUUUCACAAUCAACAGACAAAUAUUCCCCACUUCUGAUGUCAGUGCACUGCCCUCAGCAUUCUGGGGAACUGACUCACUCCAGCUAUGAUAGGAGAAAAUGCAAACAGCAGAGCCUCCGUGAGGGACGGUUUCCUGCCGAGGUGCCUGAGAAAAGCCAAGGUGAGGUUGUGUGGGAGGGGUCCUCCUCCGCUUGCCCCGGGGGUAACAUUGCUAUUAUAUUACUCUUCCUUUCUCAUCUCAAAAUUACCAACGAGUAUGCGGAAAGUUACAAUUAUUUUCUUUUUUUUUUUUUUAAAGAAAUCUCCUUAGAGAAGCAAAGACACCCAAAGAUAUGAACAUACUGUUGCUACUUUGUUUUUUGUUUUUUUCCCCUCCUCCGUUUGCCCCAAAAGCAACAAGAGUGCUGCCAGGGGAAUUUAAAGUGCUUUCACCAAAAUAGACCACAGCUCCGUCAAGGAGAAAGACCUCUCAGUAAAUACUGAUGAGAAGCCACUCCGAGCCUCAAAUUACUUUAACAAACGACGCAGCGCAGAAGAAGCCCAACAUUUUGGCUGCUGGAGGAAUCAAAGUGGGUGUGAGGGUCUAAGCAUGGACGGCGUUAAUCUGAGAGAAGCCAGGAUGUCUUUUUUUUUUUUUCUUUCCUCCCUGGGAAUAUAAGGUUGAGAAAGAACAAAAAAAAAAAAUGGGUGGGUGUGUGCAUGCAAGUGUGCAGAAAGGGAGAAAAGGGAGAGAGAAAGAGCAGCUGUGGAAAGGGCUGAACAGACAGCUUUUGUCCCAAUAAUAGCUCAGAACCGGGGAAACGUUUUGCACAAGGGACUUGGAAUAAUUUGGGACUUUUUGAUUUACUUUGGAGAAAAAAAAAAAUGCUGUAACUUUCCCAUUUGGAAAUAUUUCUAAAAGCAUCAAUGACGAGGCAACGCGGCAGACGUAAAAACGUAUUUGCUUCUUACUAUCUUUCCCUCGCUGAUGGGACGGCUCAGGAUGGGAAAGUGCAUGUGGGUGGUUGUUUUUGACACCUUUCAACUUACAUCAGAGUUGUGAAGUCAGAGCAAGCUGCUAUAAGACAGUACUUACACUCCCUGAACAGUUUCAAGCAUCUUAGUGGGGUUUUGUUUGCUGGACAAUCACAAAGUACAUGAUUCUAAAAAAGAAAGAAAACAUAUAUGGUCUUAAAGAUGCCAAAUAAAAAUUUGAAGUGUGACUUUGACUAGGCCAUUCUAACACGUAAACCAUAACAUUGUAGUUUCAGCUGAUGUAGUUUCAAGCCUUCUGCAGCUUCUAACAGGUUUUCUCCAAGCAGUGUUUUGUAUUCAGCUGCAUCCAUAUUUCCUGCUGAAGAAAAACAUCUGCACAGCAUGAUGCUGCCACCACCGUGUUUCAGAGCGAGGAUGGUGUUCUCGGAGUGAUGUGCAAAUUCAGUUUGCUACCACAUGUAGCAUUCUGAAUACAUAACCACUCAGGAAUGCACCGAUAUUAAAAAUUGGGCUGAUAUCGAUAUCCAAAAUUUAUUCUGCCGCUGUGGCCGAUAACCAGUCUACAUUUUCCUGCACUUUAGGUUUUUAAUAUCUAAACGGUUUUACUUAUCGGACUAAUACCGAUACGAUAAGAAAUUACCAACAUUGGCAGAUGCCAAUGUUGAUGCAUAUUCAUGAUACAAACCUAAUAGAAGCACACAGCACUUUUCAGGUUUUAUCUAU